This 468-nucleotide ribosomal RNA is filed under the name uncultured bacterium. RNAcentral describes it as "partial 16S ribosomal RNA". It matches the Rfam family "Bacterial small subunit ribosomal RNA", at positions 28 to 507 of the family's 1533-position model. The record is from RNAcentral.
GACGAACGCUGGCGGCGUGCUUAACACAUGCAAGUCGAACGGAAAGGCCCUGCUUUUGCGGAGUGCUCGAGUGGCGAACGGGUGAGUAACACGUGAGUAACCUGCCCUUGACUUUGGGAUAACUUCAGGAAACUGGGGCUAAUACCGGAUAGGAGCUCCUGCUGCAUGGUGGGGGUUGGAAAGUUUCGGCGGUUGGGGAUGGACUCGCGGCUUAUCAGCUUGUUGGUGGGGUAGUGGCUUACCAAGGCUUUGACGGGUAGCCGGCCUGAGAGGGUGACCGGCCACAUUGGGACUGAGAUACGGCCCAGACUCCUACGGGAGGCAGCAGUGGGGAAUAUUGCACAAUGGGCGGAAGCCUGAUGCAGCAACGCCGCGUGCGGGAUGACGGCCUUCGGGUUGUAAACCGCUUUCGCCUGUGACGAAGCGUGAGUGACGGUAAUGGGUAAAGAAGCACCGGCUAACUACGUG